RNAcentral lists this small nuclear RNA (188 nucleotides) under Ursus thibetanus thibetanus. RNAcentral describes it as "U2 spliceosomal RNA (ENSUTTG00000023185.1)". It matches the Rfam family "U2 spliceosomal RNA". Rfam says of the family: U2 is a small nuclear RNA (snRNA) component of the spliceosome (involved in pre-mRNA splicing). Complementary binding between U2 snRNA (in an area lying towards the 5' end but 3' to hairpin I) and the branchpoint sequence (BPS) of the intron results the bulging out of an unpaired adenosine, on the BPS, which initiates a nucleophilic attack at the intronic 5' splice site, thus starting the first of two transesterification reactions that mediate splicing. The record is from RNAcentral. Lineage: Eukaryota; Metazoa; Chordata; Mammalia; Carnivora; Ursidae.
AUCUCUUCUCUGCCUAUUAGCUAAAAUCAAAUGCAGUAUCUGGUUUCACCAAUUAAAGCAUCUGAUGUGUUCUCUGUCUGUGUACUGGGCAUUACAUUACUGCUUGGAAUCAGGAGAUGGGUUGGGAGUUUGCUCUAUCCACCCCCCCCCCCCCCAAUUGCAUUACUUCUAGGAAUGAUGCAUUCCUU